RNAcentral lists this ribosomal RNA (440 nucleotides) under uncultured bacterium. RNAcentral's name for it is "partial 16S ribosomal RNA". It matches the Rfam family "Bacterial small subunit ribosomal RNA", at positions 338 to 795 of the family's 1533-position model. The record is from RNAcentral.
CCUACGGGAGGCAGCAGUGGGGAAUAUUGCACAAUGGGGGGAACCCUGAUGCAGCAAUGCCGCGUGGGUGAAGAAGCACUCCGGUGCGUAAAGCCCUGUCAGCAGGGAAGAAAAUGACAGUACCUGACCAAGAAGCCCCGGCUAACUACGUGCCAGCAGCCGCGGUAAUACGUAGGGGGCAAGCGUUGUCCGGAUUUACGGGGUGUAAAGGGAGCGCAGGCGGUAUGGCAAGUCAGAUGUGAAAACCCAGGGCUCAACCCUGGGACUGCAUUUGAAACUGCCAUACUGGAGUGAAGGAGAGGUAAGUGGAAUUCCUAGUGUAGCGGUGAAAUGCGUAGAUAUUAGGAGGAACACCAGUGGCGAAGGCGGCUUACUGGACGGUAACUGACGCUGAGGCUCGAAAGCGUGGGGAGCAAACAGGAUUAGAUACCCUAGUAGUC